GGGGAGGGCUGAGCCAGUCGAGCGCUGGCGCUCGUCGGUAGCAUUGGGAGGUGCUCCGCAGGCUACGCACAUAUCGCUCCCUGAAUAUCUCGGCUGGAGCGCUGCUCCCGGUCUUACAGAUUCGGCAGGAGUCCACAGUGCGCGGCACAGUCGAAAAGUGCGGAGAGUGAUCACAAAGUGUUGGGCCAUGACGGCCGCUACUCCUCCCGCGUAGCGCUGACGACUGCACGCAAGCUUGAGCAGUGCAGCAUAUCGAAGCGACUGUGUGCCGAGUGUCAUGUGCCUUCGAGUGCCGUUCACUGCGGCGUCGUCGGGUCCGCACGCUUCAUCUCCGUUACUGCUUUGAUCUGUUUGUGUUGCCAUCCCGCUGUGCGAAUUUCGCUGUGUUGUGCGUGUCACCCUCCCCCAUGCCGGACAGCCCGCCGCAGGCCCGUGCGCUCCUGUAGCGGGACGGAUAACGGGGGAACGAUGACGGUACGGAUGUCGCCCCAUCCUCAGCCUCCAGCGCUUGUGGCCCUCCGGGCGUUGAUAGCGCUCAUGCUGCUCUGGCCAUUCGCGUCAGUGGCCCAGGCAUUUGACGACGAACCGCUAACAGAUGCUCAUGCAGAUUCAGUUUACAGAAGUGCGAUGGUGAUGCCCCUCGCUACGAAGCACAGAUCAAGCAGACUAGUUAAGAUGGAAUACCUCACUGCGAAGCCCCGACUACGGGGACCAAAUCUGGGCCGUCCACAGAGCCCACGAUGCGGCGGCCAAGCUCGCCCUGCCUGUCCCAACGUGGGAGCCGCCCGCUGCACGAUAAUCGCGUAUCUCAGGACUCAAUAAAGUUUUUCCAUCCACUCA
Dermacentor albipictus is the source of this 840-nucleotide long non-coding RNA. RefSeq lists it as uncharacterized. The record is from RefSeq and is a predicted model, not a curated record. NCBI's taxonomy places the organism in Eukaryota, Metazoa, Arthropoda, Arachnida, Ixodida, Ixodidae.